Long non-coding RNA from Malurus melanocephalus (red-backed fairy wren), 1421 nucleotides. RefSeq lists it as uncharacterized. The record is from RefSeq and is a predicted model, not a curated record. NCBI's taxonomy places the organism in Eukaryota, Metazoa, Chordata, Aves, Passeriformes, Maluridae. The transcript has 4 exons.
CAGUUCCUGGCCGCCCUGCCCCGGCCGUGCCCGCACCUUGGAGCGGACGGACGGACGGACGGACGGAUGGCCGGCAUCCCCGACGGAGGGAUGUUUCUGUCUUUGGUUAUCUAGCUGUAUGAGUGUUGUGGAGCCAUCAUAAAGCUAGAUAACCGAAAGUAGAAAUGACUUCCAGACCUGCUCGCCCGGGGGAAGCGGCCGCACCRGGACCGGCAGUGCAGAGACGGCCCGACUCGCCGCCCUGGGGGCUCCAGGGCCAGCAAAACACCGCCAUAACCACAGUAAGGAAAAAGGAUCUCAGCCUGAAUUUGGCUAUACCGGGAGAAAGAAAAGUUCUGAGGAGCUGUUAUUAUAUAUUCUAAUGAGAAGUCAUUGGAGAAAUUAAAAAAGGGCAGAGAAAGACGAAGACGCCAGCACUAAUUCCGCAGGAAGCCUCCCAGGGAAAAGGCUGUGUGAGUGUGAACGCUGAAAAGCAUGAAGGCCUGGAAUUAGACUAUCAUUUAGAAAGCGUUACUAAUCCGAAGUUACAGCAGUAAUUCCAUGAUUUGCUGGGUCCCACACGCAGCGCCAGAAUUAAAGAUACGGAUUUUCUAGAAAUGUAACUCAACUGUGGCACCGAGUCUCGGCAAGAUCCGAAUGAAUCAUUCAUUCCAAAGGCAGCGAAAGACGUGUCAUUAAGAACCAACCUCCUUCUCUCCAGCCCAUCUGGAAUAUGUAUACUCGAUGCAAUCCCAGAAAUUGUGGAAGAGAUCGGAGACRUGACUGAGAGUUCCUGGAGUGGGAUGCCUUGGGAAGGGCUGGGACGUCUCCACCUGAGCAAGGAGAGAUCCCAGUGAGUGGACAAGGGACUUUGGAAGCCCUGGGAGUUCCUUCUUGCAGUUGACUACCGCCUGCUGGAUUUGCCUUCUGACUUCUACGAGUUUCUCCAGGAGGGUCCCAACCUGCUUCUCCAUSGGCCCAGAGAGGAGGCAGCUUUGAUUCACGAACACACCGAGUUUCUGCAUCACUUCGAAACACAGCGGUGCAGCCAUGGGGAGGGARCCAGGGCAACACAGGGAGCCAAGGGACCAUCCCACAUCACUCCUGUACAUUGCCUUCGGUGUCCUCAGUACCCCAGAGCAGGACCAAAGUGCUUAGAGAGACCUGAGCCGGUCACUGUUUCACCUGGUGAAAUACCGGGUGUGUGAAGUUUGGAGGGAGCUUUUAGCCCCYGGCUUUGCUCAUGGAGCAGAGCUCGGCUCUUGCUGCUCUUGGUCCCUGGGUCUGUGGAGCUGUGGGAUGCAGCCUUCUCGAAGGUGCUGUGCUUGGGGCCCAGAGGACCAUCAGCCUGUCCAGCCCUGCUGCUGUUGUACUGCACCCUCUCUGUUCCUGUAAGAGAAAUGUACUGCCUGUAACUCUCCCAUUCAAAUCCACCCCCCCCC